CAAAAGUUUGGUCCCGGCUUUACUAUCAGCUUCAACCCAAGUUAUACAUGCAAGUAUCCGCACACCCGUGAAAAUGCCCUUAAUCCCCCUUGCCCGGGGACGAGGAGCUAGCAUCAGGCACACUUUAAUCUUUAGCCCAAGACGCUUUGCGAAGCCACACCCCCAAGGGAACUCAGCAGUAAUAAACAUUAAGCCAUAAGUGAAAACUUGACUUAGUUAAGGUUAAUCAGGGCCGGUAAAACUCGUGCCAGCUGCCGCGGUUAAACGAGAGGCCCUAGUUGAAAGUGUACGGCGUAAAGGGUGGUUAGGGAUGACUAUUAACUAAAGCCAAAGACCUCCCAAGCUGUCGUACGAUCCGGAGGCACGAAGUCCCACCACGAAAGUAGCUUUAUUACCCCUUGACCCCACGAAAGCUAAGAAACAAACUGGGAUUAGAUACCCCACUAUGCUUAGCCUUAAACUUAGAUGUCAAACAUACAAAUACAUCCGCCAGGGAACUACGAGCGCUAGCUUGAAACCCAAAGGACUUGACGGUGUCUCAGACCCACCUAGAGGAGCCUGUUCUAGAACCGAUAAUCCACGUUAAACCUCACCACCCCUUGCUCAAUCAGCCUGUAUACCGCCGUCGUAAGCUUACCCUGUGAAGGUCCCAUAGUAAGCAAAAUGGGUAAUUCCCAAGACGUCAGGUCGAGGUGCAGCUCACGGAGUGGGAAGAAAUGGGCUACAUUUUCUACAACAGAACAUUACGAAUAAUACUAUGAAACUGGUAUUUGAAGGUGGAUUUAGUAGUAAAAAAUAAACAGAGAGUUUUUUUGAACCAGGCUCUGAGACGCGCACACACCGCCCGUCACCCUCCCCAUCAAUUAUUAACAAAAAAGUAAAUAACCAGAAAAAUCUAGAAGCGGGGAGGCAAGUCGUAACAUGGUAAGUGUACCGGAAGGUGCACUUGGAACAU
Molecule: non-coding RNA, 955 nt
Filed under: Brycon nattereri
Lineage: Eukaryota; Metazoa; Chordata; Actinopteri; Characiformes; Bryconidae
Description: 12S ribosomal RNA
Rfam family: Bacterial small subunit ribosomal RNA
Source: RNAcentral